This 253-nucleotide ribosomal RNA is filed under the name uncultured bacterium. RNAcentral's name for it is "partial 16S ribosomal RNA". It matches the Rfam family "Bacterial small subunit ribosomal RNA", at positions 524 to 776 of the family's 1533-position model. The record is from RNAcentral.
UACGAAGGGGGCUAGCGUUGUUCGGAUUUACUGGGCGUAAAGCGCACGUAGGCGGAUCGAUCAGUCAGGGGUGAAAUCCCAGAGCUCAACUCUGGAACUGCCUUUGAUACUGUCGAUCUGGAGUAUGGAAGAGGUGAGUGGAAUUCCGAGUGUAGAGGCGAAAUUCGUAGAUAUUCGGAGGAACACCAGUGGCGAAGGCGGCUCACUGGUCCAUUACUGACGCUGAGGUGCGAAAGCGUGGGGAGCAAACAGG